This 253-nucleotide ribosomal RNA is filed under the name uncultured bacterium. RNAcentral describes it as "partial 16S ribosomal RNA". It matches the Rfam family "Bacterial small subunit ribosomal RNA", at positions 524 to 776 of the family's 1533-position model. The record is from RNAcentral.
UACGUAGGGGGCAAGCGUUGUCCGGAUUUAUUGGGCGUAAAGAGCGUGUAGGCGGCCGUACAGGUCAGCUGUGAAAACUCGAGGCUCAACCUCGAGACGUCGGUUGAAACCGUACGGCUAGAGUCCGGAAGAGGAGAGUGGAAUUCCCGGUGUAGCGGUGAAAUGCGCAGAUAUCGGGAAGAACACCCGUGGCGAAGGCGGCUCUCUGGGACGGUACUGACGCUGAGACUCGAAAGCGUGGGGAGCGAACAGG